GAUGAACGCUGGCGGCGUGCCUAAUACAUGCAAGUCGAGCGAACAGACGAGGAGCUUGCUCCUUUGACGUUAGCGGCGGACGGGUGAGUAACACGUGGAUAACCUUCCUAUAAGACUGGGAUAACUUCGGGAAACCGGAGCUAAUACCGGAUAACAUGUUGAACCGCAUGGUUCAACAGUGAAAGACGGUCUUGCUGUCACUUAUAGAUGGAUCCGCGCCGCAUUAGCUAGUUGGUAAGGUAACGGCUUACCAAGGCAACGAUGCGUAGCCGACCUGAGAGGGUGAUCGGCCACACUGGAACUGAGACACGGUCCAGACUCCUACGGGAGGCAGCAGUAGGGAAUCUUCCGCAAUGGGCGAAAGCCUGACGGAGCAACGCCGCGUGAGUGAAGAAGGUCUUCGGAUCGUAAAACUCUGUUAUUAGGGAAGAACAAAUGUGUAAGUAACUAUGCACGUCUUGACGGUACCUAAUCAGAAAGCCACGGCUAACUACGUG
Molecule: ribosomal RNA, 497 nt
Filed under: uncultured bacterium
Lineage: Bacteria
Description: partial 16S ribosomal RNA
Rfam family: Bacterial small subunit ribosomal RNA
Source: RNAcentral